CAGACGAGGAGCUUGCUCCUCUGACGUUAGCGGCGGACGGGUGAGUAACACGUGGAUAACCUACCUAUAAGACUGGGAUAACUUCGGGAAACCGGAGCUAAUGCCGGAUAAUAUAUUGAACCGUAUGGUUCAAUAGUGAAAGACGGUUUUGCUGUCACUUAUAGAUGGAUCCGCGCCGCAUUAGCUAGUUGGUAAGGUAACGGCUUACCAAGGCAACGAUGCGUAGCCGACCUGAGAGGGUGAUCGGCCACACUGGAACUGAGACACGGUCCAGACUCCUACGGGAGGCAGCAGUAGGGAAUCUUCCGCAAUGGGCGAAAGCCUGACGGAGCAACGCCGCGUGAGUGAUGAAGGUCUUCGGAUCGUAAAACUCUGUUAUUAGGGAAGAACAAAUGUGUAAGUAACUAUGCACGUCUUGACGGUACCUAAUCAGAAAGCCACGGCUAACUACGUGCCAGCAGCCGCGGUAAUACGUAGGUGGCAAGCGUUAUCCGGAAUUAUUGGGCGUAAAGCGCGCGUAGGCGGUUUUUUAAGUCUGAUGUGAAAGCCCACGGCUCAACCGUGGAGGGUCAUUGGAAACUGGAAAACUUGAGUGCAGAAGAGGAAAGUGGAAUUCCAUGUGUAGCGGUGAAAUGCGCAGAGAUAUGGAGGAACACCAGUGGCGAAGGCGACUUUCUGGUCUGUGACUGACGCUGAUGUGCGAAAGCGUGGGGAUCAAA
RNAcentral lists this ribosomal RNA (719 nucleotides) under uncultured Staphylococcus sp. RNAcentral's name for it is "bacterial SSU rRNA". It matches the Rfam family "Bacterial small subunit ribosomal RNA", at positions 70 to 772 of the family's 1533-position model. The record is from RNAcentral. Lineage: Bacteria; Bacillati; Bacillota; Bacilli; Caryophanales; Staphylococcaceae.